UCAAGGUCAGACGGAGUCAAGAGAAGAGAUGGGGCAUCCUUUAUAAGUGCAUGACCACCAGAUGUGUGCAUUUGGAUCUCCUCGAAAGCCUGGACACAGAUUCCUUCCUGCUCUCCCUGCGCCGCCUAAUAGCACGCAGGGGUAAACCAUUCGAGCUUCUCUGUGAUAAUGGAACCAACUUUACAGGAGGAAAUCGAGAAUUAGUAGAGGCCUUUGAAGCUAUGGCUCCUUGCCUGCAGGAGCAAUUAGCAGAGCAGAGGAUCAGAUUCCAGUUUAACCCACCUUCCGCUCCACAUUUUGGAGGCACCUGGGAAAGGGAAGUCAAGUCGGUGAAAACAGCUCUGAGAGUAGUCCUACGAGAGCAGUCAGUCGCUGAGCCAGUUCUGCGGACUCUACUGAUCGAGGUGGAAGGAAUUCUUAAUUCCAAGCCAUUGGGCUAUGUGUCAACAGAUGUCUCGGAUCCUGAUCCUAUAACACCCAACAUGCUACUUAUGGGACGCAGGGAUUCAUCUCUUCCCCAGGCUUUAUAUGGCGGAGAGGAUUUGCUUGGGAAGCGACGAUGGAGACACAGCCAGGUGUUGGCAGACAACUUCUGGGCUUCCUUCAUCAGACACUACCUCCCGGGACUGCAGCAACGUCAGAAGUGGAAGAGCGAUAGCAAGGAACCUACUACGGGUCAGGUUGUUCUUGUUGUUGAUCCACGGCUCCCGCGGGCUCUUUGGCCUGUGGGUUCGGUGGUUGAGACCUUCAAGGGUGCAGAUGGACGUGUACGUAUUGCCACAGUGAAGGUAAAGGACAAAAUCUACACGAGGCCUGUCGUUAGACUGGUCCAGCUUCCCCAGUUUACUAAUGACUCUUAGUUCAUAUAGCAGUCUUUCUAUGUUCGAUACAAUUCUCAGGUUAGAGAAUUGGGGGCGGCUGUGUUAGAAAGACUGAGGGAGAACCUAAUUUAGUUUCUUGUUUCCGCCCGGACCGCUAUUAGUGUGACGCGCGCCGAAUCUUUAUUUCUUCAUGGUGGAUAUUUGUGUGCGUAAUAAAUAAAACCAUACUCAUAUGCUCCAUGAGCUCAGCAUGUAACAUGUGUUUCACAUGUACUUAUGCAUCUCAGCCUGUUAUGGACCAUGUUCUGUCUUUGGAGCCAUAUUAAAGCUGCCGAACAUUA
Molecule: RNA transcript, 1162 nt
Organism: Cyprinodon tularosa
Lineage: Eukaryota; Metazoa; Chordata; Actinopteri; Cyprinodontiformes; Cyprinodontidae
Exons: 2
Source: RefSeq, a predicted model, not a curated record